AGCACCAAUAGCGUAUAUUAAAGUUGCUGCAGUUAAAACGCUCGUAGUCGAACCUUUGGGCACGUGCAUUGGUUGCGUCUCUGACGGAUACUUUUGCACGACCCACGCUUCUUGGCGUUUCAAACUUGUUUGGCGUGUCAAGACUUUUACUUUGAAUAAAUUAGAGUGUUCAACGCAGGCAUUUGCUUGAAUACAUUAGCAUGGAAUAAUAAAAUACGACCUUGGUCUUGUUUUGUUGGUUUUAGGGACCAAAGUAAUGAUUAAUAGGGAUAGUUGGGGGCAUUAGUACUUGGAAGCUAGAGGUGAAAUUCUUGGAUCUUCUAAAGACUGACUAUUGCGAAAGCAUUUGCCAAGGAUGUUUUCAUUG
RNAcentral lists this ribosomal RNA (367 nucleotides) under Planomonas sp. Its description in RNAcentral is "partial small subunit ribosomal RNA". It matches the Rfam family "Eukaryotic small subunit ribosomal RNA", at positions 587 to 975 of the family's 1831-position model. The record is from RNAcentral. Lineage: Eukaryota; Ancyromonadida; Planomonadidae.